This 382-nucleotide ribosomal RNA is filed under the name uncultured eukaryote. RNAcentral describes it as "partial 18S ribosomal RNA". It matches the Rfam family "Eukaryotic small subunit ribosomal RNA", at positions 592 to 976 of the family's 1831-position model. The record is from RNAcentral.
CAAUAGCGUAUAUUAAAGUUGUUGCAGUUAAAAAGCUCGUAGUUGGAUUUCUGGUUGAAGCGACCGGUCGGGCGUUGAUUCGUCUGCACUGGAGUCGGUUUUGGCCAUCCUCUAGGAAAGUGCGUCUGGUAUUAAGUUAUCGGGCGUAUGAUCCUGGUCUUUUACUGUGAAAAAAUUAGAGUGUUUAAAGCAGGCCUUCGCCUUGAAUACAUUAGCAUGGAAUAAUAAGAUAGGACUUUGGUCUAUUUUGUUGGUUUGCAGACCGAAGUAAUGAUUAAUAGGGACAGUUGGGGGUAUUCGUAUUCCGUUGUCAGAGGUGAAAUUCUUGGAUUUACGGAAGACGAACUACUGCGAAAGCAUUUACCAAGGAUGUUUUCAUUAA